This 445-nucleotide ribosomal RNA is filed under the name Pseudo-nitzschia fraudulenta. RNAcentral's name for it is "partial Bacterial large subunit ribosomal RNA". It matches the Rfam family "Bacterial large subunit ribosomal RNA", at positions 1334 to 1885 of the family's 2925-position model. Lineage: Eukaryota; Bacillariophyta; Bacillariophyceae; Bacillariales; Bacillariaceae. The record is from RNAcentral.
UCGCCGAAAGACCAAGGGUUCCUGCGUAAAGCUAAUCUGCGCAGGGUUAGCCGGCCCCUAAGGCGAGGCCGAAAGGCGUAGUCGAUGGGAACACAGUUAAUAUUCUGUGGCCUGGGAGUGUGUGACGGAUUUCGAAAGUUGUCUUUCCUUAUUGGAUUGGAAAGGCAGCCUGGAAGUCCCUGGAAAUAGCCCUCCCGCAAGACCGUACCCUAAACCGACACAGGUGGACUGGCAGAGCAUGCCAAGGCGCUUGAGAGAACGAUGCUGAAGGAACUCGGCAAAUUACCUCCGUAACUUCGGGAGAAGGAGGCCUCAUACUGGGCAACCAGCUAUGAGGGGCACAGACCAGGGGGUUGCGACUGUUUAUCAAAAACACAGGGCUGUGCGAAGCCGUAAGGCGACGUAUACAGUCUGACGCCUGCCCGGUGCCGGAAGGUUAAAAGGA